GAUGAAGAACGUAGCGAAAUGCGAUACUUGGUGUGAGUUGCAGAAUCCCGUGAACCAUCGAGUCUUUGAACGCAAGUUGCGCCCGAAGCCAUCAGGUUGAGGGCACGUCUGCCUGGGCGUCACAUAUCGUUGCCCAAUGCCUAUUGCAGUGCAAUAGGAAUUUCUAGGGCGAAUGAUGGCUUCCCGUGAGCGUUGUUGCCUCGCGGUUGGUUGAAAAUCGAGUCCUUGGUAGGGUGUGCCAUGGUAGAUGGUGGUCGAGUUAGAACGAUACCGAUCAUGUGCAUGCUCCCCAAAAUAUGGCCUCUAUGACCCACACGCGUCUUUUGACGCUCAUGACGAGACCUCAGGUCAGGCGGGGCUACCCGCUGAAUUUAAGCAUAUCAAUAAGCGGAGGA
RNAcentral lists this unclassified non-coding RNA (395 nucleotides) under soil metagenome. RNAcentral describes it as "partial contains 5.8S ribosomal RNA, internal transcribed spacer 2, and large subunit ribosomal RNA". The stretch from base 1 to 122 matches the Rfam family "5.8S ribosomal RNA", at positions 35 to 154 of the family's 154-position model. The record is from RNAcentral.